This is a long non-coding RNA of Equus caballus (horse), 2235 nucleotides long. The record is from Ensembl. Lineage: Eukaryota; Metazoa; Chordata; Mammalia; Perissodactyla; Equidae.
AUAGUUAAAGCAAGUUGGCCCCUGGUUUCAAUGGUUGAUGUAGUGAAUCCUACUGCUAGUUUCCUGUCAUUUAGCUGUAACCACAGGCUUAUAUCCCAACACCUGGACCCAACUAGUGCAGAUCUUGGUGCUUCAUCCAAUCAUUAAUGCUGAGCAGACAGGAAAGAGUUGAAGGCAAGGUUUUGGGAUAUAAUUGUCAAGACACUGGAAUCAAGAUGAAUGGAAGCUGAAAUAAUCUGGAAAGCAGAAUGGGUGGCAGUUAAAGGAACCUGGAGAAGUGACUGGCCAAGCAGAAGCAAGGGACUGAGAGAGAUGAUGGUUGCCUUCCGGUGGUUGUUUGAAAUGGGUUUUCUGGACCGUUAUGAAAGAAUCAUGGCCACCAAAAUUCCCUCAUCUAAUCUACCUGAGAGAUACCUAUGGUGGCUCUCAAUUGGCUCUCAAGUUGAAUUCCAUUUCCUGAUCCUGGGUGGAGCAUACAACCUGUUUGUCCUAUCAUCUGGCGACGCACAUUUGUUAAUGUCAAGCUUUGGAAAGCAGCUCUAUUGAAGUAUGAUUGAUAUACAAGGAAUUGCACAUAUUUAAUGUGUACAAUUUUAUGAGUUUGGACAUAGGCAAACACCUAUGAUACCAUCACCACAAUCAAGGGCAACCCAAAUGGAGACCAUAGUCCCCAGCCUCCUUUGCAGCCAUGUAUGGCCACUCAACUAAACUCUUGCUAAUAAAAUAGAAGCACAAGCAAUGUUUGCUCGAUCUGGACUUCCUCUGUUUCCUCUUCACACGUGCUGGAAGCCAAAUGAGGCAGCGGAGAACGCUGGGCAGAGGAGGGCUGCAUGCUAGGGGAUGGCACAGCACCAACGGGGAAGGAUAUCUUGAUGUCAUUGAGCCAUGUCUCUAAUCUACAUGUCGAAUUUGCAUGAGAAAGAAAUACACUUCUGUAUUGUAGCCAAUGUAUGUUUUUAUCUUUGUUGUGGAAGACAAUCUUUAUCCUAACUAAGCCAGAUAGGGUUUUUUUGUUGUUGUUGUCCUUGAUUAAUCAUUUUUAGUAUGCUUUCAACUUAUAAAUGGAAUAUGGAAUAAAUAUUUUAUUAUUUUCAUGAUAAAAAUGCUUUAUAUUUCUGUAGGGUAUUUCUUUUAUCAGGAUCUUUCUCCAUAUUCUGCUCUAUGAUAGUUACAACAAUCCUGUGGUGGCAGUUAAGAUGAUUCAUUAUCCCUAUUAUACAAGGAAGGAAACAAGUUGAUUCGCAAUUGGACCUUGAUCUUUCCAAAUUAUCUCAGGAACUUGUACAAGUUCAGAGGAAAUGUAGAUUGAUGACUAUAUAUUAAUGUCAAUGAAAAAUAUUUUAUUAAAUUAAAACCCACGAUUUUAAUAAGGUAUCUCACUCUUUUGUAGAACUUAAUAAAUAUAGCUUUUUAAAACUGCAUUCAUUUAACUAAUUUAUCUCUUUAAUAAAAUAAAAAUAUAUUAAUUAGUGCAUUUUCAAAUUAAAUGUCUGAAAUAUUAAGAAAUCUUACAUUUACUUUCUUUUUCUAUUUAUAAAUGUAGCAAAUUUGGAAAAUAUAAAGGAGAUGUUAAAAAUUACUCAUAGUCCUAAAUAAUUCAAAUUAAACACUAUUAAUCUUCAUCAAAAUUAUUUUAGUAAUUUCAUGGAUAUCCAUGUUUUCAUGAAUUUAUGAACGAAUUUUUAAAUGACAUAUUUUAUACUUGCUUAUUGUAAAACUAAGUAACAGAGGAAAGAAAAAUCUGAAAAUUAUGUGUAACUACAAGACUCAGAGAUAACUACUGUUAAUAUAUGUGUAUACUUAUUUACAAAAAUAAAAAAUGCUGUUUUAAACAUUUUCACUUAAUGAUAAUGGCUAACAUUCAAGAUCCCCAUUAGGGCCAGGCGCUGCACUACAAAUGUUCCACCCAUUUACCUUGUUUAACAUUCAGAAGAAGCCUGUAAGGUAAGUGCUAUAAUUAUCACCAUCUUUACACAAGGAGGAACUGAGGCUUGGGUAUGUUAAACAACUUAGGAAUCAUAAUGAAGGUAUGAAAGUAUCAAAUAGUGUCACAGGUUGUCUGUAUGCAAAACCUGCACUCCAGACAUUUUGCUAUGCUAUUUGAAUGUCAAGAAACAUGACGCUGCAAUGUAUCCCAUCCUAUGCAUAUGCCACAAGUGUCCCAAUCAAUCUUUUACUUCUGGCUAUAUAAGUUGUUUCCUAAUAUUAACAGCAUGUAUUUGUUGUUAAACCUUC